GCCCACGCGCUUGGCACAGAAACAAGUGUUUUUCUGGGAAAAACAGGGGGUGCGAGGGCAGGAUACAAGUGCCCCUGCUAUCUGCAGGCAGCCGUCCCCGCUCUCGGUAUCUCCUCCUGGAUACAGGCCUUCCUCCAGGGGCAUUUUCAUAGGCGGCUGGGAGGAGACUCCCCAGCACCGUGUUUAGCCUGAUAUUUCAUCUCCCCCCUCCGUGGAGAGAGCGGUCCCUCUCUGGCCUUUUAAUCUCCCUUCUGGAAAACAGCCUGGGGACGAAACAGAAGAUGACCUUUAAAAGAAGACCCAUGGAUUGCCACCACGAUGCCUAGACAGCAUGGAAUCUAGAGUCCCCAGAAUGAUCUAUUUCAGCCCUUCCUCCUCUUGGAUCUUUGAGGAGAGCCAGAAGAAUCUGAAGUCGGUCUGUGAAAGGAGGUAGAGACUUAAUGACUAUCCACCACACAUCGCUGAUCAGCACCUGCUGAGCGUCUCCAUUCCUCUGCACUUGCCCAGGAGAUUUACAAACUCAGCUUCACCUGCAGAGCCAGACAGCACCCCCAGCUCUUCCCCUGAUACCCACAAAAGAUGUACCCAAUUAUUCCAGUAGCCAGCAGCCCAUAAGCGGUAAAGAUGCUGGUGCUUAGACAGAACACCCAUCCUGCUGCAUAACGAGUGGGCUACGUCCAGUGCUGGCUGCAAAGCAGCUCACAAACAGGGAACAAAAGGGAGGGCAGGGCAGAGCGGAGAGGUUCAGUACCUGGCAGUCAUAAACAGGGUGUCCUCUCCAGCACAUCACGUCGAGGAUAUAGUACGUCUGCUUUGCCUCAUUGUAGAUGCAGUCCAAGAUGCAGUACACUGCGCAAACAAACACAGGGCGGUCCAGACAUGCUCCAGAAGCUGCCUAACCCAACAGGCAAAUGCCCGAUCAAAUGCCCUGAUAUAAGCCUGCAAGGUGCAGAGGGAUCCCCUUCUGCUAAUAGAAGCUGCAACCACAAAAAUCCUUUAGCUUGAGGAGUCCAACAAGGCUACAAAGGUACCAGCCAGAGGCAGAGCAAGCAAAGGCAUGCUUCAGAAAAUGGCAUUUAGUGAACAGUAACCCCUCCUCAGGGCAAGAAAGCAACUGCAAGAGGUAUUAAGAAAGACCACACCGUACACAGCUCUCUGUCGGAAGACAGAGAUGAUAUUGAGGUUUAAGAGAGUCAGUUAACCAGGCAGCUAAUUAAAAGACAUCAUUACCUAG
This is a long non-coding RNA of Aquila chrysaetos chrysaetos, 1234 nucleotides long. RefSeq lists it as uncharacterized. The record is from RefSeq and is a predicted model, not a curated record. NCBI's taxonomy places the organism in Eukaryota, Metazoa, Chordata, Aves, Accipitriformes, Accipitridae. The transcript has 3 exons.